Physeter macrocephalus (sperm whale) is the source of this 640-nucleotide long non-coding RNA. RefSeq lists it as uncharacterized. Lineage: Eukaryota; Metazoa; Chordata; Mammalia; Artiodactyla; Physeteridae. The record is from RefSeq and is a predicted model, not a curated record. The transcript is spliced from 3 exons.
GCCCUCUCUACACCCAGAUCUUCUAGGUGCCCCACGACUGCUUCUCUGCUGUCAGCCUGCAGCCCUCCAACCCCCACUGACAGCUCUUCACUGAGCCCCAGGGAUUUGCAAGGGAAGGGGAGAAAGAUCAGACCAGUCCGCUCAUACCAGUGAAACGGACAUCACCAGGCCCCUGACCACCUCCUCUGCCCCUCUGUCUGGAACAAGUCGGGCUGAAGAGCCCCAUUCUGAGGCUGAGAGGAGAAGCCAUAAGGAGGGAAUGAGGGCCAGACAGGGCAUCAGCUUAGGAACCCAGGGAGGUGAAACCACAGGAGCAACUUUGUAAAGAAUAAGAGUCGACCAGCUCAUCUAAAAGCUCAGCUUUCUGCAGAACAAAAGACUCAUUCAGGCGACCAAAGGAAAGAAGGAAAGAAGAAAGGAGACUAACAGACAAGAGUUGAAAGCAGACAUUGUCAAGGACAUGACAAGUUUAAGAAAGUGAUACUGAAAAAACUCGAUAGAACCCAGACCCAUAGAUCCUGACAUCCUAGUCCCCUGCCCUGCACCCCACAAGCCCCCAGCUUUGUCUGUUUCUGAGACCGGGUGCCCCCACCCAUCCCUACCUUCAACUUCCUUCAACCCCCCCGCCCCCGCAACUCUA